UAUUAGUUGCCCCAGGGCACCAGGCAGGAUUGUAAAAGUCCUGAAGACUUUGGCCCAUUUUAAAAACAAGCGUGUGGUGUGGUCAAAAGGCAAAAAAAGCUAAGUGUGACAACUGUCAAGACAGCCUGUUAGUAUGCAGUUUGCUGAGGCUUUUGAUAGAGAUCUUGAUUGUAUUAAGGCUCAGUUUCACCGAAUGCUUCUUCUGUGUCUGAGAUGGUACUAUUGUGUUUCUUCUUUCUUCUUAAUUACAUCAGUCUUUUUCCUAAUCUACUGAGUUAUUUUUGACCUAAAGGGGUGGCAGAGUGAGGUCACUAAGGGAACAGUUGGAUCUUGGGUUCUGUCACCUACCAGCUGCCUGGCAUCCGACAAGUUUCUUGACCUCUCUGUGCUUCAUGACUAGUUUCAGUGGUGACCUGCUUUAAUCUCCGUGAGGUCCUUACAACGGGGCCCUGAACGUUCUGCGGCGUGCCCCUUUCCCCCUUUUCCCAUUUGCACGAGUUUUCUGAGGGUAAAAGUCAUCGUAUCCUGAAGCAUCACUAGGACUUACCGUAAGGCCAUCUGGAGCUGGGGCCUCUGCUAAUGGACAAUUUCCUCGCAGUAUACAGAACUCAGAGCCAUGAAGGACACAUGGUCGGGGGCGCCGCUGUUGCAACGGUCAUGACGCCAUAGCCAGUAUUUAUGGCUUCCUUCCUCCUUCCUGAAUCCCACGUUCCCUCUGCCUCCAGCCAGUACUGCAGCUGCUCAGGAGACUUUACCAGCCUCAGUUUAUCUUCCGGGUCCCUUGGACUGCAAGGAGAUAAAACCAGUCAAUCCUAAAGGAAACCAACCCUGAAUAUUCAUGAGAAGGACUGAUGCGGAAGCUGAAACUCCAACACUUUGGCCACUUGAUGUGACGAGCUGACUCACUGGAAGAGACCCUGAUGCUGGGAAAGAUUGAAGGCAGGAAGAGAAAAAGUGACAGAUGACAAGGUGGUUGGAUGGCAUCAUGGACUCAAUGGAUAUGAGCUUGAGCAAACUGGGAGACAGUGAAGAACAGGGAAGCCUGGAGUGCUGCAGUUCACGGGGUCAGAAAGAGGCAUACAAGACUGAGCAACUGAACACCACCACCAUCAUCAAUCUUCUGAGUUAAUAACUUUUCUUAUCUCCCUGAAGAUAAUCAUUAAAGUUUAUUUUUAACUCAAGUUUUCUCAUGCACAGUCUCU
Bos taurus (domestic cattle) is the source of this 1202-nucleotide long non-coding RNA. Lineage: Eukaryota; Metazoa; Chordata; Mammalia; Artiodactyla; Bovidae. The record is from Ensembl.